Molecule: long non-coding RNA, 330 nt
Filed under: Heterocephalus glaber (naked mole-rat)
Lineage: Eukaryota; Metazoa; Chordata; Mammalia; Rodentia; Bathyergidae
Description: lncRNA (ENSHGLG00000037989.1)
Source: RNAcentral
CUCCCUAUACCUCUGUGCUUCCUUCAGGGCACUCGGUUGGGCUUCUUGGAAUCUCUGUUGGCUUAUUUCUGUGUUUUUGUUGUUGUUUGUUUCCAGUGGCCUCGAGGAACUCAGGACCUCCAGCAUGCUAGGCAAGUGUUCUACCACUGAGCUACACUCCAGCCCUCUGAGUCACAGCUGAUAAUGACCACAUGCACACUGACUGAGAGUGUUGGUUGUCUCUGCUGGUGAAUGAGAAGGCAUCUAGUAUCCCAGGCUGUCCAGGAUGCAUAGCCAACCAGCAAAAAAGACCCUGUGUGGCCAAGAGCUCUCUGCCCCACCCCUCCUCAG